GCGCCGAGGGUCCACAGCCAUAUAAACUCCUCCGUCGAGCUCAACACAGAGCAGAAAACCAGAAGGAAUCGAAGAAAAGAGAGAUGUUAGGAAUGGAGGAACCAAUUUUACUGCUGAAAUUACUCAAUGGCGGCGAUUCGCGGCCUUUGGAUGAACUCAUCUCGGAAUUCAAGUCCAAAGUCCAGCCUUCUCGCAUCUUCGCCUUCUGCUCCUCCGUCGCCAUUUUACUCACCGAGAGUAAAGUGUUAAGACCAACACAGCGUCUGGUUGGAUUUGCAAUUCUCCACCAGGCAUAUUCUUUCCAGCAGCCUAGUUCUAACCCGUUCAGUUUUGUGCUUGUGAAUGCAGCAUCCAAUGAAGAAGCUGAAAAAUUUGAAAGAGGUUUUAUUCUUCAAUUGUUAGGCUCCGCCAACUCCACGAAUAAAGCAGAGGUCCUGAAAUUGUCUGUUGCAGAUUACAUGAGAAACUUUGUUCCUUCAUCACACACUUUUCCUCCUAGUGAGCAGCUACAGCAGCAGUAUUGUAGUAAAGUUGGCCCAGUAUUAUUUGGUAGCUUGUUCAGGAAUCGUGUGAUAAAUAUCUUGCCAGAUCCCGAUGUUCCACUGGGCUGUGAUCCCAAUUCGACAGAGCUUGACCUGCAACCUGGAGUCACACCCAAGACUGGAUCUGGGGAUAGGGAUGAGACCAUAAGUGGAUUGCUGCAAAAUUUAUCAUUGGAAGGAUUAGGUCCUCAAUGGAUCAGACAACAACCACCGAGGCUACCAGUGCUAGAGGGAGAACUGGUGUGGUUAAAUCCGGAUAAUACUCAUGAGCUGAUGUGGGAUCAUGGUAUGUGUGCUGAUACUAGCAGAGGAGCAGCAGUUAGGGAUUUGAUUGCAAAAGCUUUGAAAGGGCCACUUGCACCUGCUCAACGGGAGCAAGUCUUAUUGGAGUUUGCCAAUGAUCCAAAGCUUGUAUAUCACUGUGGGCUGACACCAAGAAAGCUACCAGAACUUGUGGAGAAUAAUCCUAUCAUUGCAGUUGAAGUUCUCGUUAAGCUUGCAAAUUCAGCUGAAAUUGAAGAGUAUUUCACUGUUCUUGUCAAUAUGGAUAUGAGCCUUCAUUCAAUGGAAGUGGUUAACAGGCUUACUACAGCUGUCGAACUACCGACCGAAUUCAUUCAUUUGUAUAUAACGAACUGUAUAUCUUCCUGUGAGAACGCCAAGGUUCUUAGUCCUCUCUAUGCUUUGGUGUACUUCCCAAUUUCCGCAACCCCACAUUGAAACCCUUAAACCUUUGACCUCAUCAUGGUUCUAUUUUAGCUCUCUCUCUCUCUCUAUCUCUUCUUCUAAUUGUCUUCUAAUUUUUUUUGUUGGGGGGGCUUCGUGUAUUAAGCAGUAAUAACAUGAUGUGAUCUAUCAGAAUACUGUGGUAGGUCAUCUCCAUGACAUGAUUUUAGGUGAAUAGCUUCAUUGAACUUUAUGAAGAGAACGUAUGCCAGUUGCAAAUAAUCCAGGCAUUGAUUUUUGCCGUGGUAUAGUUCUUUCCGCUAAUUAUGUUUAUCCAUUGAAAAGUCUACAAUUUCCUGCUUCAAUCAAGACAGACAUGUACUGUGGUAGCUGACAAUUCCAGAGGCUGAAGGACAAGUACAUGCAGAAUAGACUUGUCAGACUUGUGUGUGUCUUCCUGCAGAGCCUGAUCCGGAAUAAAAUAAUCAAUGUUCAGGAUCUAUUCAUUGAAGUCCAAGCCUUUUGUAUAGAGUUUUCAAGGAUAAGAGAAGCAGCUGGGUUGUUUAGGCUCCUUAAAAGCUUAGAAUAAGAUAGUCUAGUUUAACUCAGUUCUCCUUCCCUUUCGUCGUGUAAGAAAUCUUCAUGUUAUCCAUUUUCCUCCAGCAAACCAAUUUUUUUCCCCCUUCCUGCCAUGUUGUUGUGAUGUUCUAUUUUGAGGAUAGCAUCGUGACUUGUAAUGUAGUUGGAUUUUUUCCCCUUUUGGUUGCUUAAUCUUUUCCAGUGUUUUCAUGCAGAGCUCAUUGUUUCACCCAGCAACUGAAUGGGAAAAAUUAAUAUAUUGAUGUGGAAUUUCUACUUUGUGAUUGUA
Coffea arabica (coffee) is the source of this 2076-nucleotide RNA transcript. RefSeq lists it as uncharacterized. Lineage: Eukaryota; Viridiplantae; Streptophyta; Magnoliopsida; Gentianales; Rubiaceae. The record is from RefSeq and is a predicted model, not a curated record.